Molecule: long non-coding RNA, 4500 nt
Filed under: Papio anubis (olive baboon)
Lineage: Eukaryota; Metazoa; Chordata; Mammalia; Primates; Cercopithecidae
Description: lncRNA (ENSPANG00000043356.1)
Source: RNAcentral
AUGGGCUGCUCUUCCCGAGGCCGGCAGCCCUGCAGCAAUUUGAUAGGCACAGGACAAGCAUCCUUGGGUGUGACUGGGGGAGUCUGGGUCACAAUGCGUGCUUUAUCAUUGGAGAGAGUCAGAGACCCAGGCCAAUGGACAAAUGCACUUAACCCCUCAAAACUGCUGUCUUUACUGCGUGAGGUUAUUUUCCUCCACCAGAGACUCUAUCUCAGUAGCAGAAAGUCAUUCAUGAACAAAGACCCGGGACCAAGCCAACUCAUAUUACUAGCGGGAAACAGCCGCGCCAGCAGCUCACGCCUGCAUCCUCCUCUCCCGCUGUCUCACUGGACCCUGCAGUUAGUUAUCUGGGACUUCAGCAGAGCAGAGCAGAGCCUCAUCUUACAGAGGUCAAGUGUCCCGCUGCUGCAGGGCCUUCAACCCGGGUGGGACGUGGCCAGCAGUGUGGGUUUCCUAGAUUCCAAGAAGGGAGACCAAGUCUUUGACAGAGGCAGAAAUCAUGCCACACUAGGGAUAACUGGCUGGAAUCGAGGGCAGCUGGAGGACAUUCUAGCAGAUGUGAGCCACUGCCUUCAAGUUCCAGGGAAGCUGGCUUUGGAAACAGACUUGGCCUUGUUCUGUUGGAUUCAGAAGUCAGAUAGAGAGAGAGCCAGGAGGCCAAAGCUAUGGGGGAGGGGCCAGAUUCCAACUCCACAUACGUGAGGCCCUUCUCAUCAUUCUAGCUGUUUGAGCAUGAAACACAUGGCUUCAGCCAGGCCUGAGUCUGCUCCAGCACACAUGCCUGAGGAGAGAGGUACAGGCUGGACAAUUGCCUUCAGAGGAUGAUAUGGAGGGUUUGGGGUACGAUGAAGAGGAUUUCUAAGAAUCAAUUAUGCUGAGAAAUUUUAACAAAUAAAAUAAGGCAGAGCAUUACAAUGAUAAAACAGUAAGAAAAUGCUAAAUAGUAACAGUAGACAUAUCUAACCUAAUAUCUUGGUGUCCAUGUCAUUCUAAUAAUGACAUGUAUUUGGCCAAUGGAUUAAUAAAGUUGUUAUUAAAAGUUUCUCUCCAGUUUUUGCUAUCUUGGUAUAAUAUAUCUAGCAGGAUAAAAAUAAUCUAUCAAUAAUCACAUGGUUAUUAUGCUGGUGCUCAAAAUAUACUGAACUGUAUGAGUGAAAUAAUAUUUUCAACUAAGGUAAGUAUAGUAUUGCCAGAAUUUAUAUAUUAUAUAGAUCUACAAUUUAAUUUUCAAUUUGUUCAUAAAAUCUCAUUUGCUGUUUUUUAUCUUAGGAACCCAAGGGCUGUUUAACUUAGACAUUUAUGAUGUACUAAAGUUAUUGUAAGGCUAUUUAAAUAGUUAAGCAUUAAGUGCACAUGAAUUUACAGUUCUAUAAAUGUCCUCUUGAACUAUGUAAGAUACAGCACUCCUAGAAACCCAGCUGAGAAACCCAAACCCAGUUUCACACUGCCAAAUAAUUCAUUUUCAAUCAGGAAGCAAUGUUUCUAUCUUCACAGAUUUAAGUUCAUGAGCUUGACCAGGACACAGAAAGAGUCUGAUUAGUCAAUCUGGUCACUUAGCAAAUAUCUAUUCCUUGUCUGAGGCCAGGCACUCUGAAUACAGCCAUGAGAAAGACAAACACAGCCCCUGCCCUCAUGGGGUGAAAACUUGAUUAUUCAUCUCAUAAGUGCGACACAGGCUGGAAGCUAACAGGGGUAACGGGAGCUAAGGCUGGGGUGGGGGAGGGCACGUCAGGCACAGCUGCCAUGGAGAAAGAACAUGUCCUUAAGAACAUGAGCCCUAAAGGCUGGAGUGAAGGAGGCGAGGGGGAUGUCUGCGGGGCGUGGGGUCCUUGCAGGUGGAGGAAACCUCACGUCUCACCGUGUGAGAACACAGCCCUUCAGACCUGGCAGCCAGAGGCCAGGCAGGGUGGCAGGGACAGGAAUGCAGUGCAGAUGCACUUUACUCUUUACUUCCAUUUAUCUUUAUCCUAUGCAUCUUUUUUUUUUUUUUUUUUUUUUUUUUUUUUUUUUUUUUGACACGGAGUCUCGCUCUGUCACCCAGGCUGGAGUGCAGUGGCUGGAUGUCAGCUCACUGCAAGCUCCGCCUCCUGGGUUUACACCAUUCUCCUGCCUCAGCCUCCCGAGUAGCUGGGACUACAGGCUCCCGCCACCUCGCCCGGCUAGUUUUUUGUAUUUUUUAGUAGAGACGGGGUUUCACCGUGUUAGCCAGGAUGGUCUCGAUCUCCUGACCUCGUGAUCCACCUGUCUCGGCCUCCCAAAGUGCUGGGAUUACAGGCUUGAGCCACCGCGCCCAGUAUCCUAUGCAUCUUUAUUCCUUAUCUGAGCACCCAUCAAAGUAUGCGUGUGUGUGUGUGCACUCGCGUGUGUGUGUGUGUUUAUUGGGUCUAGAUGUAAGAAGUCCUCCUUACAACUGACACGAGUCAAAAACUGUGAAAAAUAUGGCUUUCUCCUGAGUGAACUGGGAAACUAUCGAAGGUUUUUGAGCCACAAUGCUGACCAGACUGCAUUUUAAAAGUUCUACCCUGGGGCCGCGUGCGGUGACUCACACCCGGAAUCCCACCAUUUUGGGAGGCCAGGCAGGGAGAUCACCUGAGGUCAGGAGUUCAAGACCAGCCUGGCCAACAUGGUGAAACCCCGUCUCUACCAAAAAAAAAAAAAAAAAAAAAUGAAAAUUAGCCAGGUGUGGUGGUAGGCACCUGUAAUCUCAGCUACUCAGGUGGCUGAGGCAGGAGAAUUGCUUGAACCUGGGAGGCAGAAGUUGCAGUGAGCCAAAAUCAUGCCACUGAACUGAAGCCUGGGCAACAGAGCAAGACUAUUUCUCAAAAAAAAAAAAAAAAAAUGUUCUACCCUGGUGGCAGAGAAGAGAAGGGACUGACGGGGAGUGAGACUGGAAGCCAGGGAAGCGGCUGCAGUGGAGAGAGCUGGUGCUGUCCCGCAUCUGGGUGUGCCAGUGAGGGUGAAGAAGUGGAUAAGUGUGAAAACUAUUCAGGAAAGAGAAACACCAGGAUGUGGCAGUGAAUUGAAUAUGCGAAGUGAGGUGACGGGAGGAGACCGCAGUCCGACUCCUAGGAAGCUGGCCUGACAAUGGCUUGUACACUGGGGUCACUUUCUACGAAAGGGCAUUGUGGGCGGGAAACAGGUUUGGGAAAUGCCAAGUGUGAAGUCCUGCAAGCUGUCAAUCUGGAGAUGUUGAGCAAGUCGUUGGAUACGUAGUCUGGAGCUUGGAGAGAUGGACAGGAUUGGAAUGAGGUUUACCCAGCAGGUAAUUCCCGAGCCGUACCCUUUGCCAGAUGCUGCACCUUAUGUUCUAGACCUCCAUUAGUAAAUGAACACAUGCUAACACUGCCACCUGGAACCUAGAGCAGCUGCCAUUUAAAUGGAUCGGAGGCACAGGGAUGGACACUUACCUAGGGUGAGUGUUUGCAGUAUAUUGAAAUGGGCUGCUACACCCAUGAUUGAAAUAUGAGAAUACUCAGUAGAAGGAGACUGAGACAUGGAAAAGCCAGCAGCAUGUUCCAUCCUAAGAGCCAAGGAAACAAAGCAUUGCCAAGAGGUCGAUGCAAAUAUCAAAUUGAAAUGGCAGAUGUCGCUCAUGUGAUGGAGGUACUAACAUUUUUCUCUCCUACUUCCCAGAUAUGCUCUGAGAAUGAAUAAGGGAAGAAAUAUUAAAGCCCUAGAAAUUUCAGGAUAGAAAUUACAUAUAAAAUAGUUUUCGUUAUCUUUAUUAUCGUCAUUAAAACAGUAAUGUCAAAGGUCAAUGCCAGAAACCACAACUGUAAAAAGUUAAAGUGCCACCAUCCAUGAUGACUUUUCUUUCAGAGAUUAGAAACAGAACAGGGGGCUAUAUGAAAAAAUAAAACAUGAUGAAAUUGUAAAAAGAGAAAACAGAAAAAUAAAUCAGAUUCAUAUUUCCUGACAUUCCCAGUAAACGGUAGUUAUUUAUUUGUUGAUGUGUUUAUUUAUUUACUAUUCACCAUAUGAAGAUGCGUAGAAUACAGUUAGUGCUUUUCUGAUAUUGAAUAGUCUCACAAAUCAAAGAACUUCCACUCUCUUGAUGGCUAAGUCUUAUGAACACAUAGAAGCUAUCAGAGAUCUCACGCCAGUGAAAUUAACUCAGAGCUUUGACUCCUGAGAUGCUGCAUUGCCAGACAGAAUCCUACAUCUUUAGGAUGAAACCUAAGCAGUAUAAUCCCGUGAGAUGAGGUAGAAAUGUAAAGUGUAAUGAUUGUCAUUGUGGUUAUUAAUGAUCUCUGUGAUAAUUGGAGGACACUCAGGACAGAUGGCAGCUAACUGCAAUACGGGACCCUGGAUUGCAUCCUGCAGCAGAAAAAAGGACAUUAAUAGAAAACCAACUAAGGUCUGUACUUUAGUUAAUAUUGGACUAAUGUUAAUUUCCUGAUUUUGACUAUUGUAAUACAAAUGUGUCAGAUGCUAACAUUAGGGGAAGCUGGAUGAAGCGUAUUCCGAACAGGAAUUCUCUCUGCUUUACCUCACAUCCAU